Molecule: long non-coding RNA, 142 nt
Organism: Tupaia belangeri chinensis (Chinese tree shrew)
Lineage: Eukaryota; Metazoa; Chordata; Mammalia; Scandentia; Tupaiidae
Exons: 3
Source: RefSeq, a predicted model, not a curated record
CCUCUUCAGAAUUUUGGGCAUGUACACCCAUACACCUGAUCACAACCAGAGAAUCCUCCCUUUAGCCUUCAAAGCACUCCACAAAAAUUCAAGUAAAAUUGUCCACUACCAUCUGUUUUUGAAAAGAUUAUAAAGAGGGACA